UACGUAGGGUCCGAGCGUUGUCCGGAAUUACUGGGCGUAAAGAGCUCGUAGGUGGUUUGUCGCGUUGUCCGUGAAAACUCACAGCUCAACUGUGGGCGUGCGGGCGAUACGGGCAGACUGGAGUACUGCAGGGGAGACUGGAAUUCCUGGUGUAGCGGUGGAAUGCGCAGAUAUCAGGAGGAACACCGAUGGCGAAGGCAGGUCUCUGGGCCGAUACUGACACUGAGAAGCGAAAGCAUGGGGAGCGAACAGG
This 253-nucleotide ribosomal RNA is filed under the name uncultured bacterium. RNAcentral's name for it is "partial 16S ribosomal RNA". It matches the Rfam family "Bacterial small subunit ribosomal RNA", at positions 524 to 776 of the family's 1533-position model. The record is from RNAcentral.